GACUCUCGGCAACGGAUAUCUCGGCUCAUGCAUCGAUGAAGAACGUAGCGAAAUGCGAUACUUGGUGUGAAUUGCAGAAUCCCGUGAACCAUCGAGUUUUUGAACGCAAGUUGCGCCCGAAGCCAUUCGGCCGAGGGCACGUCUGCCUGGGCGUCACAC
RNAcentral lists this ribosomal RNA (159 nucleotides) under Coopernookia strophiolata. RNAcentral's name for it is "5.8S ribosomal RNA". It matches the Rfam family "5.8S ribosomal RNA". From Rfam's summary of the family: 5.8S ribosomal RNA (5.8S rRNA) is a component of the large subunit of the eukaryotic ribosome. It is transcribed by RNA polymerase I as part of the 45S precursor that also contains 18S and 28S rRNA. The record is from RNAcentral. Lineage: Eukaryota; Viridiplantae; Streptophyta; Magnoliopsida; Asterales; Goodeniaceae. RNAcentral also lists the same sequence under 4 other names.